GCCUUCGUGGCUCAGCUGGUUAGAGCGCCGGUCUCAUAUUCAUCCUUCCGGGAAUAAUAAUAUGAUCACUCCGUAAGAGUGAGUCAUCCGGAGAUCGCCAGUUCGAUCCUGGCCGAGGGCA
Molecule: transfer RNA, 121 nt
Organism: Puccinia graminis f. sp. tritici
Lineage: Eukaryota; Fungi; Basidiomycota; Pucciniomycetes; Pucciniales; Pucciniaceae
Rfam family: tRNA
About the family: Transfer RNA (tRNA) molecules are approximately 80 nucleotides in length. Their secondary structure includes four short double-helical elements and three loops (D, anti-codon, and T loops).
Source: Rfam